UUCAUUGCCAUAGAUAGUAAGGGAACAUCAUACAUAUUUUGGGUCCUAAGGGAGAUCUCAUGCGACCGACAAAUAAGCUAGACAAAAGUGAAAUGAAUAGAGCAAGUCUGUAUAGCUAACGCAUUCAUAGUCGAGACCGAAUGAACAUCAAAUUACUUCAAACAAAACGAGAAAGAAAUUCAUCCAACAUUUUUGACAAUAAAAUGAAAUAAACUUACAGCAAGAAAACUCAAACUCUUAACUAACGAAUCCCGGACUUGAAUCAUACACCAAAGAAUACAUUUUUACCUUCAACAGCUAAAGAGCUAAGACAUUAAA
This 318-nucleotide long non-coding RNA is filed under the name Solanum tuberosum (potato). Its description in RNAcentral is "long non-coding RNA (STUB_LNC008241)". The record is from RNAcentral. Lineage: Eukaryota; Viridiplantae; Streptophyta; Magnoliopsida; Solanales; Solanaceae.